ACCUGGGUUCCGGGCAGGUUCACGCCCUUGCGGCUGCCCAGGACGCCGCCGUUCUCCACGUGGGUCUCCAGCCCCUCCGGGCCUGCAGGCAUGGAAAGAGCCGGCGUAGGACCCCGGUGCGUAUCUCGGGUCCCUUGGUGUCCAGAGCGAUGGCCACGGGUCGGUAGCUGAGCGGAGAAGUUGCAAAGCUCUGCACGGCCUCCCGGAUGUUGGCGAUGGACUGAGCGUGCCCCACCCCCACGCCAUGUCCGACCCAUCUGGAAAUCCUGUCAACUCUGUCUUCCAAAUGCAUUCGGAACCCCGUCUUGUCUCACCACCGCCACUGCUCCUACCUGGUCUGAGUCAGAAACACUGCAGGAGGGGCGCCUGGGUGGCUCAGUCCGUCAAGU
Long non-coding RNA from Leopardus geoffroyi (Geoffroy's cat), 389 nucleotides. RefSeq lists it as uncharacterized. Lineage: Eukaryota; Metazoa; Chordata; Mammalia; Carnivora; Felidae. The record is from RefSeq and is a predicted model, not a curated record. The transcript is spliced from 3 exons.